Non-coding RNA from Equus caballus (horse), 702 nucleotides. NCBI's taxonomy places the organism in Eukaryota, Metazoa, Chordata, Mammalia, Perissodactyla, Equidae. The record is from RefSeq and is a predicted model, not a curated record.
UCUAAGGAGGCUGGAAGUGACUCUCUGCUCAGCCAAAACUGCCUUAGAGAGCAGGAGAAAAUGGCGGGAUGCAAGAGGGGGAAAGGAUGGGGUCACACAAAGAAAAAGAGCUAGAGUUGACCAUUUCUCCACUCCAGCAAUGAGAUGUAAGCCAGGAGGCAAACCUGAGGCCACAAAGCCACCAGGGAUGGCAGAAUCUCCUGAAGGACUGGAGGUGGCCAGGGCUGAGGUCAAGGCCCCGAUGGAGGCAAGGAGGAUGGAAGAGAGACCAAGAGAACAAAUGAGUGACUUAAUAACCUCACUUUACCCAGAGAAUGGAAAAUAAAAUGCAAGAUUCCAAACCCUGCCGUUUCAUUUCAUCUAUGAAAAAUACAGGAAAAGGUGGGCUGUUUUGGCUUCCUACCAUGGAUGAGGAUCUUGAAGGAGAAACUUGGCAGAGCUUCUCUAUUCCCUGGGGCUUCAGCAAGGCGGUAGAGGAUGAAGAAGAGCAUAUAUGCCAGUGAGUAACAGUCAUUAAGUAAAAAUAGCAGGGGUCUUCUCACUGCUUUCUGAGAUUAGCUCAUGUUUUUGGGUAGGAUCAAUCUGGACAAGGGUUGAAAGCCAUGUCUCAGAAUUAUAUAAGAAUGAUGCCUUUGCUAGGAAAGUGAUGAGAUCCUUCUGAGUUUUGUCCAGGUAAUUCUAAUAUUUAAAAAGAAUAUUGGA